Molecule: non-coding RNA, 74 nt
Organism: Aedes albopictus (Asian tiger mosquito)
Lineage: Eukaryota; Metazoa; Arthropoda; Insecta; Diptera; Culicidae
Source: Rfam
UAUUCUGUGGCUUAGUUCGCUGAAGCACCGGUCUUGCAAAUACGGAGUCGUGGGUUCGAAUCCCAGCAGAAUGC